UUGCUUUGGCAGCACAUAUACUAGAAUUGAAACAAUACAGAAAAGAUUAGUAUGGUCCCUGCAGAAGGAUGAAAGGCAAAAUUCCUGAAGCAUUCCACAGAAGU
Small nuclear RNA from Pelobates fuscus (common spadefoot toad), 104 nucleotides. Lineage: Eukaryota; Metazoa; Chordata; Amphibia; Anura; Pelobatidae. The record is from RefSeq and is a predicted model, not a curated record.